Molecule: long non-coding RNA, 550 nt
Organism: Melitaea cinxia (Glanville fritillary)
Lineage: Eukaryota; Metazoa; Arthropoda; Insecta; Lepidoptera; Nymphalidae
Exons: 2
Source: RefSeq, a predicted model, not a curated record
ACGAAAAUUUACGUUCGGUACCCAAAGGCUAUAGUGGAUUAGUUGAAGCAGCUACUAUCUUAACUAAUAACGCGGAGGAGGCCGAGACGGCGAUCCACGAUCAAGAGAAUGAGGGGGUACCAUCUGACGAUGAUAGUGAUACAAUUUCUAUAGCUAGUUCACAAACUCUUACCGCUAGUUCGGAGACCCUCUCAGCCUCUGAGCGUGAUGAAAACUAAAUCAUCAACUGGAACAGCGAGGCAGGAUAAGAAGCACGAGGGCGUGCUAUUGUCAGUCCGGCCGUGACGGCGCAUAGACAUUUUUAGAGUGACGUUUUGGCACUCUGACACAACCCCGGGCGCUAGUGAGCUUGAGCGAGUGAGUCGGGACGGACAUUGGACAUUAGUUUUGUCAACGGUCUCUCGAUUCACAUCGUAUCGAUACAUUACGCGUUCGGUGGAGUGUCUCUGUGUGAUUGUUAAUCGUUAUUAAAGAACUAGUAAGAACUUUGUAGUGCUAAUGAACAAUUGUAAAUCGAAUUAUAAUUAGUGAUUAUAUUGUGUAUGAUUUG